RNAcentral lists this ribosomal RNA (269 nucleotides) under uncultured prokaryote. Its description in RNAcentral is "partial 16S ribosomal RNA". It matches the Rfam family "Bacterial small subunit ribosomal RNA", at positions 524 to 792 of the family's 1533-position model. The record is from RNAcentral.
AACGUAGGGGACGAGUGUUAUCCGGAUUCACUGGGCGUAAAGCGCGUGCAGGUGGUGCUUUAAGUUGGGCGUGAAAGCUCCCGGCUUAACUGGGAGAGGUCGUUCAAUACUGAGGCACUUGAGGGCAGGAGAGGGAGGUGGAAUUCCCGGUGUAGUGGUGAAAUGCGUAGAUAUCGGGAGGAACACCAGUGGCGAAGGCGGCCUCCUGGCCUGCUUCUGACACUAAGACGCGAAAGCUAGGGUAGCAAACGGGAUUAGAUACCCGCGUA